This 253-nucleotide non-coding RNA is filed under the name uncultured bacterium. Its description in RNAcentral is "partial 16S ribosomal RNA". It matches the Rfam family "Bacterial small subunit ribosomal RNA", at positions 524 to 776 of the family's 1533-position model. The record is from RNAcentral. RNAcentral also lists the same sequence under 1 other name.
GACGAAGGGGGCUAGCGUUGUUCGGAAUUACUGGGCGUAAAGCGCGUGCAGGCGGCUGCCAAAGUCGGGUGUGAAAGCCUUGAGCUCAACUCAAGAAUUGCACUCGAUACUUGGUGGCUAGAGGACCGGAGAGGAUAGUGGAAUUCCCAGUGUAGUGGUGAAAUACGUAGAGAUUGGGAAGAACACCAGUGGCGAAGGCGGCUAUCUGGACGGUUUCUGACGCUGAGACGCGAAAGCGUGGGGAGCAAACAGG